Long non-coding RNA from Nothoprocta perdicaria, 862 nucleotides. RefSeq lists it as uncharacterized. NCBI's taxonomy places the organism in Eukaryota, Metazoa, Chordata, Aves, Tinamiformes, Tinamidae. The record is from RefSeq and is a predicted model, not a curated record. The transcript has 5 exons.
UUCUCUGUCUCUAGCUGGUCCUUGCUCUGAUUUGUGUCAGAAGUUCUUUUCCCAAGUUCUUGCUGCACGUUAGACCUGUUGCUUAAGCUGGCAGAGACCUGGAGACAGGGAGUGUAUCUGGCACCAGAAAGGACUGGCGACCCAUCCAAGGUGCCAGCCACGCACUGAAGCUUUUGCUCAAGGUCAACGGGGAAGAUUUCCAGUCAAAGGAAGCUGACAGCCAGAGAGGGCAAUUACUUCACCAGAGUUAUGUCUCAGCAAUGAAAUUACAGCCCUGAUCCAAAGCCUGGGCAUGAGGUUUUCUCUGGACCGAGCACCUCAUCCUAUACUUGGUCCCGAGACUUUAGUCUGCACCUCCUCGAAUCCAAAUCCAUGUGAAAUGGGACUGCUGCUGCUUUCGGCCCUGCUGUCAUAGCAGAGAACUCAUGAUGAGAACGGAUGUUGCUUCCCAAACUUGCCUGUCAUUCUGCUACGUUCACAUUUUCCAUGGCUGAGGAGAAGUCAUUUGACUGCUUAGAGAUAAACAAGCCUCGGCUUAUUCCUGUCCAUCUAGAAGAUGCUGUUCCAACAUCUCCCAACACAUUUCUUACUGGAAAAAAAAAAUCUGGACAGAAAGAUGGCAGGAUUUCACCUGUGUUUUCUAUGUAUUGCAAUAUCAUGUGUAAUAUCCUAUGUGUGUGAAUCUGGUGCUGACCUAAGGCACGAUGCCUGCGUGCUCCCACCUUUUCCCAUGGAACUGGACUGGUAGUGGGUUCGGCAGACAGCUCCUGGUGCAAGCUCUGUGGUGGACCACCGAGUACCAGGGGAGCACAGUCCAAAAAGGAUGCCAGUGUUAUGGUACACCCCAGUUUGACCUUCUACC